GAUGAAGAACGCAGCGAAAUGGGAUAAGUAAUGUGAAUUGCAGAAUUCAGUGAAUCAUCGAAUCUUUGAACGCACAUUGCGCCCAUUAGUAUUCUAGUGGGCAUGCCUGUUCGAGCGUCAUUAAGUCCACUUAAGCCCUGCUUAGUGUUGGGAGACUGCUCCAGCGGUGCUACCCUGUAGCUACCCUGCAGCUCCUCAAAGACAGCGGCGGAGUUGUGGUAUCCUCUGAGCUUAGUAACUUGUUCUAGCUUUCGAGUACACCACUUCCCCUGCCGUAAAACCCUUAAUUUUUAAUGGUUGACCUCGGAUCAGGUAGGAAUACCCGCUGAACUUAAGCAUAUCAAUAAGCGGAGGA
RNAcentral lists this unclassified non-coding RNA (355 nucleotides) under soil metagenome. RNAcentral describes it as "partial contains 5.8S ribosomal RNA, internal transcribed spacer 2, and large subunit ribosomal RNA". The stretch from base 1 to 120 matches the Rfam family "5.8S ribosomal RNA", at positions 35 to 154 of the family's 154-position model. The record is from RNAcentral.